GUCCACGCCGUAAACGAUGGAUACUCGCUGGUGGCGAUAGACGGUCACUGGCUUAGCGAAAGCGUUAAGUAUCCCACCUGGGGAGUACGCCCGCAAGGGUGAAACUCAAAAGAAUUGACGGGGGCCCGCACAAGUGGUGGAGCAUGUGGUUUAAUUCGAUGAUACGCGAGGAACCUUACCUAGGCUAGAAUGCGCGUGACCGCCUCAGAGAUGAGGCUUUCCUUCGGGACACAAAGCAAGGUGCUGCAUGGCCGUCGU
RNAcentral lists this ribosomal RNA (258 nucleotides) under uncultured bacterium. Its description in RNAcentral is "partial 16S ribosomal RNA". It matches the Rfam family "Bacterial small subunit ribosomal RNA", at positions 793 to 1055 of the family's 1533-position model. The record is from RNAcentral.